RNAcentral lists this ribosomal RNA (468 nucleotides) under uncultured bacterium. RNAcentral's name for it is "partial 16S ribosomal RNA". It matches the Rfam family "Bacterial small subunit ribosomal RNA", at positions 28 to 507 of the family's 1533-position model. The record is from RNAcentral.
GACGAACGCUGGCGGCGUGCUUAACACAUGCAAGUCGAACGGAAAGGCCCUGCUUUUGUGGGGUGCUCGAGUGGCGAACGGGGGAGUAACACGUGAGUAACAUGCCCUUGACUUUGGGAUAACUUCAGGAAACUGGGGCUAAUACCGGAUAGGAGCUCCUGCUGCACGGUGGGGGAUGGAAAGAUUCGGCGGUUGGGGAUGGACUCGAGGCUUAUCAGCUUGUUGGUGGGGUAGUGGCUUCCCAAGGCUUCGACGGGUAGCCGGCCUGAGAGGGUGACCGGCCACCUUGCGACUGCGGUAGGGCCCAGACUCCUACCGUCGGCAGCAGUCGAGAACCUUGCACAGCGGGCCGAAGCCUGAUGCGACAACGCCGCGUGCGUAAUGACGGCCUUCUAGUUGUAAACCACUUUCGCCUGUGACGAACCGUGAUUGACGGUAAUGGGUCAAGAAGCACCGGCUAACUACGUG